UUGAUGUUCCUGGAUGAAAAUUGUGAGGGAAAUAGCAUUUGGUUCUGGUAUGUGUUGGGAAAGCAAUGAGAUACUGAAAUAAAUGUAACUGUUUUUGAUUAUCCUUUAAAAAAAGCCCUAAAAUUUCCAUUUGACAGCUCUCUUGAGUUUUUAAAAUUACUCUAAAAUGAAAGCAUCAUCUAGCUACUACAGAAAUGACUGAUUUUGUAUUUCAUCACAGUCUUAAUAGCGGGUUUUUAUAUUUUUAGCCUUACAAUUUUAAAUUAACUGCUACUAAAUUUUUUACCAUAGGUUAUCUGUUUCUUUACCUCCAAAGCAAGAAGAGUUGGGAAAGUGCAGAGUUGAUCCAGGGACCACUUAAGUUGCAUGGAAACAAAUUAUUUUCAACAGAUUGCUACUUGGAGGUGCCUCUGUCAGACAUGAAACUUUAUUUAGCACAAGUCACACUUGUAAAAAAAGUAAUUCUUGAAUUAGAGAGAAACUGCUUGAAGUUUGCAGUUAUUUAUUUUUAAUCCUCAGUUUUGCAGGCAGGUUGUGUAAUGAAGGUGAAAGAAACCCCAUCAGCCUCUAUAUACAAGGUUUCUAGUACGAGAACAGAAUUCCUGUAUACAUUAGUGCCAAGCCUGAUCACAAAGAU
Long non-coding RNA from Pezoporus occidentalis (night parrot), 637 nucleotides. RefSeq lists it as uncharacterized. The record is from RefSeq and is a predicted model, not a curated record. The transcript has 2 exons. Lineage: Eukaryota; Metazoa; Chordata; Aves; Psittaciformes; Psittacidae.